This 820-nucleotide ribosomal RNA is filed under the name uncultured bacterium. Its description in RNAcentral is "bacterial SSU rRNA". It matches the Rfam family "Bacterial small subunit ribosomal RNA", at positions 36 to 831 of the family's 1533-position model. RNAcentral also lists the same sequence under 1 other name. The record is from RNAcentral.
CUGGCCGGCUGCUUACCAUGCAAGUCGAACGAGAACGCUUCAGCUUGCUGAGGCAAGUAAAGUGGCGCACGGGUGAGUAACGCGUGGGUAAUCUACCUCCGAAUUGGGGAUAACAUUGCGAAAGCGGUGCUAAUACCGAAUAAUAUCACCGGGACCCCGGUCUUGGGGAUCAAAGGUGGCCUCUACACGUAAGCUACCGUUUGGAGAUGAGCCCGCGUACCAUUAGCUAGUUGGUAGGGUAAUGGCCUACCAAGGCUACGAUGGUUAGCUGGUCUGAGAGGAUGAUCAGCCACACUGGAACUGACACACGGUCCAGACUCCUACGGGAGGCAGCAGUGAGGAAUUUUGCGCAAUGGGGGAAACCCUGACGCAGCAACGCCGCGUGAGUGAUGAAGGCCUUCGGGUCGUAAAGCUCUGUCAAGUGGGAAGAAUCUGCUCUGUGAUAAUACCACGGGGCACUGACGGUACCACUGAAGGAAGCACCGGCUAACUCCGUGCCAGCAGCCGCGGUAAUACGGGGGGUGCUAGCGUUAUUCGGAAUCAUUGGGCGUAAAGGGCGCGUAGGCGGUCUCUUAAGUCAGAUGUGAAAGCCCUCGGCUUAACCGGGGAAGUGCAUUUGAUACUAAGAGACUUGAGUAUGGGAGAGGGAAGCGGAAUUCCUGGUGUAGCGGUGAAAUGCGUAGAUAUCAGGAGGAACACCGGUGGCGAAGGCGGCUUCCUGGACCAAUACUGACGCUGAGGCGCGAAAGGCGUGGGGAGCAAACAGGAUUAGAUACCCUGGUAGUCCACGCAGUAACGGUGACACUAAGUGUUAGCGGGU